GCGUCCGUGGCCCCCGGCCUCUUCCCUCGGGCGGGGAUGGCGAAGGAGCUGUGACUUUCCGGCCGCCGCGCCCCACCGCCCGGCACGGUGCCGCGUACACAGUGGGCGCUCAGUACCCGGGGGCGACGGGACCGAUCGGCCGUGGUUCAGCCCUCUGGGGACCCAGAUCCGAAGCGGGACCCGGCGAGAGCGGGUCCGCUCCGAAAGCACCGCGCGCCCAGCAGGUGCCGGGCGGGCUGCAAGGGCGGGAGAUGCCAGCGCUGAGAAGACAUGCAGCGGCGUCCUCGGCGGGUCUGCGUGUGUGUGGCCACCGGCAACACUGACUCCCUUCAGAGCUCGUGACUCGGUGCUGCCAACUCCCCUGAACUCCAGGCCCACAUUUGGACAUGAGACACAUCGUCGUGGGCACAGAAGUCAGACCUUGAAGCCACCCUGCCUCCUCAUUCCCUACAUCUGGUCCUUGAGUGCAUUCUGUUGGCUCUCUCUUCAAAGUAUAUCCGGAACUGUGUUUGACUUGUUCCAGACUGCCACCCUGAU
This is a long non-coding RNA of Lynx canadensis (Canada lynx), 537 nucleotides long. RefSeq lists it as uncharacterized. NCBI's taxonomy places the organism in Eukaryota, Metazoa, Chordata, Mammalia, Carnivora, Felidae. The record is from RefSeq and is a predicted model, not a curated record. The transcript is spliced from 3 exons.